ACCCGGAGAACUGAAACAUCUUAGUACCCGGAGGAAGAGAAAGAAAAUUCGAUUCCCUUAGUAGCGGCGAGCGAAACGGGAAGAGCCCAAACCAACAAGCUUGCUUGUUGGGGUUGUAGGACACUCUAUACGGAGUUACAAAGGACGACAUUAGACGAAUCAUCUGGAAAGAUGAAUCAAAGAAGGUAAUAAUCCUGUAGUCGAAAAUGUUGUCUCUCUUGAG
This 223-nucleotide ribosomal RNA is filed under the name Staphylococcus aureus. RNAcentral describes it as "partial 23S ribosomal RNA". It matches the Rfam family "Bacterial large subunit ribosomal RNA", at positions 183 to 401 of the family's 2925-position model. The record is from RNAcentral. Lineage: Bacteria; Bacillati; Bacillota; Bacilli; Caryophanales; Staphylococcaceae.